Molecule: unclassified non-coding RNA, 138 nt
Filed under: uncultured Helotiales
Lineage: Eukaryota; Fungi; Ascomycota; Leotiomycetes; Helotiales
Description: sequence contains ITS2
Source: RNAcentral
AACCCCUCAAGCUCUGCUUGGUGUUGGGGCCCGCGGUCUCGCGGCCCCUAAAAUCAGUGGCGGUGCCGGUCGGCUCUCAGCGUAGUAAUGCUCUCGCUACAGGGUCGGUCGGUUCCUGCCAGAACCCCAACUUUCUCA